UGGGGAAUAUUGCACAAUGGGCGCAAGCCUGAUGCAGCCAUGCCGCGUGUGUGAAGAAGGCCUUCGGGUUGUAAAGCACUUUCAGCGAGGAGGAAGGUGGUGAGCUUAAUACGCUCAUCAAUUGACGUUACUCGCAGAAGAAGCACCGGCUAACUCCGUGCCAGCAGCCGCGGUAAUACGGAGGGUGCAAGCGUUAAUCGGAAUUACUGGGCGUAAAGCGCACGCAGGCGGUUUGUUAAGUCAGAUGUGAAAUCCCCGGGCUCAACCUGGGAACUGCAUUUGAAACUGGCAAGCUAGAGUCUCGUAGAGGGGGGUAGAAUUCCAGGUGUAGCGGUGAAAUGCGUAGAGAUCUGGAGGAAUACCGGUGGCGAAGGCGGCCCCCUGGACGAAGACUGACGCUCAGGUGCGAAAGCGUGGGGAGCAAACAGGAUUAGAUACCCCUGGUAGUCCACGCUGUAAAACGAUGUCGAUUUUGGAGGUUGUGCCCUUGAGGCGUGGCUUCCGGAGCUAACGCGUUAAAUCGACCGCCUGGGGAGUACGGCCGCAAGGUUAAAACU
RNAcentral lists this ribosomal RNA (557 nucleotides) under uncultured bacterium. Its description in RNAcentral is "partial 16S ribosomal RNA". It matches the Rfam family "Bacterial small subunit ribosomal RNA", at positions 355 to 901 of the family's 1533-position model. The record is from RNAcentral.